GGUUAAGCGACUAAGCGUACACGGUGGAUGCCCUGGCAGUCAGAGGCGAUGAAGGACGUGCUAAUCUGCGAAAAGCGUCGGUAAGGUGAUAUGAACCGUUACAGCCGGCGAUGUCCGAAUGGGGAAACCCAGUGCAAUUCGUUGCACUAUCGUUAACUGAAUACAUAGGUUAACGAGGCGAACCGGGGGAACUGAAACAUCUAAGUACCCCGAGGAAAAGAAAUCAACCGAGAUUCCCCCAGUAGCGGCGAGCGAACGGGGAGCAGCCCAGAGUCUGAAUCAGCUUGUGUGUUAGUGGAACGGUCUGGAAAGUCCGACGGUACAGGGUGAUAGUCCCGUACACCAAAAUGCACAGGCUGUGAACUCGAAGAGUAGGGCGGGACACGUGGUAUCCUGUCUGAAUAUGGGGGGACCAUCCUCCAAGGCUAAAUACUCCUGACUGACCGAUAGUGAACCAGUACCGUGAGGGAAAGGCGAAAAGAACCCCGGCGAGGGGAGUGAAAAAGAACCUGAAACCGUGUACGUACAAGCAGUGGGAGCACCUUCGGGUGUGACUGCGUACCUUUUGUAUAAUGGGUCAGCGACUUAUAUUCUGUAGCAAGGUUAACCGUAUAGGGGAGCCGCAGGGAAACCGAGUCUUAACUGGGCGUUAAGUUGCAGGGUAUAGACCCGAAACCCGGUGAUCUAGCCAUGGGCAGGUUGAAGGUUGGGUAACACUAACUGGAGGACCGAACCGACUAAUGUUGAAAAAUUAGCGGAUGACUUGUGGCUGGGGGUGAAAGGCCAAUCAAACCGGGAGAUAGCUGGUUCUCCCCGAAAGCUAUUUAGGUAGCGCCUCGUGAACUCAUCUUCGGGGGUAGAGCACUGUUUCGGCUAGGGGGUCAUCCCGACUUACCAACCCGAUGCAAACUACGAAUACCGAAGAAUGUUAUCACGGGAGACACACGGCGGGUGCUAACGUCCGUCGUGAAGAGGGAAACAACCCAGACCGCCAGCUAAGGUCCCAAAGUCAUGGUUAAGUGGGAAACGAUGUGGGAAGGCACAGACAGCCAGGAUGUUGGCUUAGAAGCAGCCAUCAUUUAAAGAAAGCGUAAUAGCUCACUGGUCGAGUCGGCCUGCGCGGAAGAUGUAACGGGGCUAAACCAUGCACCGAAGCUGCGGCAGCGACACUAUGUGUUGUUGGGUAGGGGAGCGUUCUGUAAGCCUGCGAAGGUGUGCUGUGAGGCAUGCUGGAGGUAUCAGAAGUGCGAAUGCUGACAUAAGUAACGAUAAAGCGGGUGAAAAGCCCGCUCGCCGGAAGACCAAGGGUUCCUGUCCAACGUUAAUCGGGGCAGGGUGAGUCGACCCCUAAGGCGAGGCCGAAAGGCGUAGUCGAUGGGAAACAGGUUAAUAUUCCUGUACUUGGUGUUACUGCGAAGGGGGGACGGAGAAGGCUAUGUUAGCCGGGCGACGGUUGUCCCGGUUUAAGCAUGUAGGCUGGUUAUCCAGGCAAAUCCGGAUAAUCAAGGCUGAGGUGUGAUGACGAGGCACUACGGUGCUGAAGUAACAAAUGCCCUGCUUCCAGGAAAAGCCUCUAAGCAUCAGGUAACAUCAAAUCGUACCCCAAACCGACACAGGUGGUCAGGUAGAGAAUACCAAGGCGCUUGAGAGAACUCGGGUGAAGGAACUAGGCAAAAUGGUGCCGUAACUUCGGGAGAAGGCACGCUGGUGUGUAGGUGAAGUCCCUGCGGAUGGAGCUGAGACCAGUCGAAGAUACCAGCUGGCUGCAACUGUUUAUUAAAAACACAGCACUGUGCAAACACGAAAGUGGACGUAUACGGUGUGACGCCUGCCCGGUGCCGGAAGGUUAAUUGAUGGGGUUAUCCGUAAGGAGAAGCUCUUGAUCGAAGCCCCGGUAAACGGCGGCCGUAACUAUAACGGUCCUAAGGUAGCGAAAUUCCUUGUCGGGUAAGUUCCGACCUGCACGAAUGGCGUAAUGAUGGCCAGGCUGUCUCCACCCGAGACUCAGUGAAAUUGAACUCGCUGUGAAGAUGCAGUGUACCCGCGGCAAGACGGAAAGACCCCGUGAACCUUUACUAUAGCUUGACACUGAACAUUGAGCCUUGAUGUGUAGGAUAGGUGGGAGGCUUUGAAGCGUGGACGCCAGUCUGCGUGGAGCCAACCUUGAAAUACCACCCUUUAAUGUUUGAUGUUCUAACGUUGGCCCCUUACCGGGGUUGCGGACAGUGUCUGGUGGGUAGUUUGACUGGGGCGGUCUCCUCCCAAAGCGUAACGGAGGAGCACGAAGGUUAGCUAAUCCUGGUCGGACAUCAGGAGGUUAGUGCAAUGGCAUAAGCUAGCUUGACUGCGAGCGUGACGGCGCGAGCAGGUGCGAAAGCAGGUCAUAGUGAUCCGGUGGUUCUGAAUGGAAGGGCCAUCGCUCAACGGAUAAAAGGUACUCCGGGGAUAACAGGCUGAUACCGCCCAAGAGUUCAUAUCGACGGCGGUGUUUGGCACCUCGAUGUCGGCUCAUCACAUCCUGGGGCUGAAGUAGGUCCCAAGGGUAUGGCUGUUCGCCAUUUAAAGUGGUACGCGAGCUGGGUUUAGAACGUCGUGAGACAGUUCGGUCCCUAUCUGCCGUGGGCGCUGGAGAAUUGAGGGGGGCUGCUCCUAGUACGAGAGGACCGGAGUGGACGCAUCACUGGUGUUCGGGUUGUCAUGCCAAUGGCACUGCCCGGUAGCUAAAUGCGGAAGAGAUAAGUGCUGAAAGCAUCUAAGCACGAAACUUGCCCCGAGAUGAGUUCUCCCUGAGACUUUAAGUCUCCUGAAGGAACGUUAAAGACGAUGACGUUGAUAGGCCGGGUGUGUAAGCGCAGCGAUGCGUUGAGCUAACCGGUACUAAUGAACCGUGAGGCUUAACCUU
RNAcentral lists this ribosomal RNA (2902 nucleotides) under Klebsiella pneumoniae. RNAcentral's name for it is "23S ribosomal RNA". It matches the Rfam family "Bacterial large subunit ribosomal RNA". The record is from RNAcentral. Lineage: Bacteria; Pseudomonadati; Pseudomonadota; Gammaproteobacteria; Enterobacterales; Enterobacteriaceae.